AAGCACUUGGCGACAUCUCGUGUGUUUGCAAACCCUUCAGGGGAUGAAGAACACGCAUGGAGCCAUCUCUUCCAGAAUCACGGGAUGCACUGGGCUCUGGAACAGAGGGCCAGUCUCAAGGCGGCUCACGCUGGGACCCCAAAGCCUCCGGCACACACUGGUUUUCCUGGAAGAGAGGGCUCUGCAGGCUGCUCUCCCAGCAGGGCCUGGAGUCUUGGCUUCUCAUCAUGGAAACUGCACUUUAAGCUUUGACAACACAAACAGCUUCUGCUCCUGGGAAAACCAGCACCUCCGAGGUGAAGUCCAGGGGGACCGCGGCCAGCUCUUUGGAAUCUCCUGCAGAUGGGGCCGGUGACACCCG
RNAcentral lists this long non-coding RNA (361 nucleotides) under Cavia porcellus (domestic guinea pig). Its description in RNAcentral is "lncRNA (ENSCPOG00000038447.1)". The record is from RNAcentral. Lineage: Eukaryota; Metazoa; Chordata; Mammalia; Rodentia; Caviidae.